AUGGGAAAGGAAAAGACUCAUAUCAACAUUGUCGUCACUGGACAUGUAGAUUCGGGCAAGUCCACCACUACUGGCCAUCUGAUCUACGAAUGCGGUAGCAUCGACAAAAGAACCAUUGAAAAAUUUGAGAAGGAGGCUGCUGAGAUGGGAAAGGGCUCCUUCAAGUAUGCCUGGGUCUUGGACAAACUGAAAGCUGAGCGGGAACGUGGUAUCACCAUUGACAUCUCCUUGUGGAAAUUUGAGACCAGCAAGUAUUAUGUGACUAUCAUUGAUGCUGCAGGACACAGAGAGUUCAUCAAAAACAUGAUUACAGGGACAUCUCAGGCUGACUGUGCUGUCCUAAUUGUUGCUGCUGGUGUUGGUGAAUUUGAAGCUGGUAUCUCCAAGAAUGGGCAGACCCGAGAGCAUGCUCUUCUGGCUUCCACACUGGGUGUGAAACAACUAAUUGUUGGUGUUAACAAAAUGGAUUCCACUGAGCAACCCUACAGCCAGAAGAGAUAUGAGGAAAUUGUUAAGGAAGUCAGCACUUACAUUAAGAAAAUUGGCUACAACCCCGACACAGUAGCAUUUGUGCCAAUUUCUGGUUGGAAUGGUGACAACAUGCUGGAGCCAAGUGCUAACAUGCCUUGGUUCAAGGGAUGGAAGGUCACCCGUAAGGAUGGCAAUGCCAGUGGAACCACGCUGCUUGAGGCUCUGGACUGCAUCCUACCACCAACUCGUCCAACUGACAAGCCCUUGCGCCUGCCUCUCCAGGAUGUCUACAAAAUUGGUGGUAUUGGUACUGUUCCUGUUGGCCGAGUGGAGACUGAUGUUCUCAAACCCGGUAUGGUGGUCACCUUUGCUCCAGUCAACGUAACAACUGAAGUAAAAUCUGUCGAAAUGCACCAUGAAGCUUUGAGUGAGCUCUUCCUGGGGACAAUGUGGGCUUUAAUGUCAAGAAUGUGUCUGUCAAGGAUAUUCGUCGUAGCGACGUUGCUGGUGACAGCAAAAACGACCCACCAAUGGAAGCAGCUGGCUUCACUGCUCAGGUGAUUAUCCUGAACCAUCCAGGCCAAAUAAGUGCUGGCUAUGCCCCUGUGUUGGAUUGCCACACGGCUCACAUUGCAUGCAAGUUUGCUGAGCUGAAGGAAAAGAUUGAUCGCCGUUCUGGUAAAAAAACUGGAAGAUGGCCCUAAAUUCUUGAAGUCUGGUGAUGCUGCCACUGUUGAUAUGGUUCCUGGCAAGCCUAUGUGUCUUGAGAGCUUCUCAGACUAUCCACCUUUGGGUCGCUUUGCUGUUCAUGAUAUGAGGCAGACAGUUGCGGUGGGUGUCAUCAAAGCAGCGGACAAGAAGGCUGCUGGAGCUUGCAAGGUCACCAAGUCUGCCCAGAAAACCCA
RNA transcript from Piliocolobus tephrosceles (Ugandan red Colobus), 1376 nucleotides. It is a transcript of the gene named elongation factor 1-alpha 1 pseudogene, with no coding region annotated. The transcript has a single exon. The record is from RefSeq and is a predicted model, not a curated record. Lineage: Eukaryota; Metazoa; Chordata; Mammalia; Primates; Cercopithecidae.